RNAcentral lists this ribosomal RNA (440 nucleotides) under uncultured Desulfovibrio sp. RNAcentral's name for it is "bacterial SSU rRNA". It matches the Rfam family "Bacterial small subunit ribosomal RNA", at positions 338 to 795 of the family's 1533-position model. Lineage: Bacteria; Pseudomonadati; Thermodesulfobacteriota; Desulfovibrionia; Desulfovibrionales; Desulfovibrionaceae. The record is from RNAcentral.
CCUACGGGAGGCUGCAGUGGGGAAUAUUGCGCAAUGGACGAAAGUCUGACGCAGCGACGCCGCGUGAAGGAUGAAGGUUUUCGGAUCGUAAACUUCUUUUGUGAGGGACGAUUGUGACGGUACCUCACGAAUAAGGGCCUGCUAACUACGUGCCAGCAGCAGCGGUAAUACGUAGGGCCCGAGCGUUGUCCGGAUUUAUUGGGCGUAAAGAGUAUGUAGGUGGUUUUGAAAGUCGGAUUUGAAAUCUCGAGGCUCAACUUCGAGUUUGGAUCCGAAACUUCUUAACUUGAGGUUAGUAGGGGCAAGUGGAAUUAGCGGUGUAGCAGUGAAAUGCGUUGAUAUCGCUAAGAACACCGAUGGCGAAGGCAGCUUGCUAUACUUUCCCUGACACUGAGAUACGAAAGCGUGGGGAGCGAACGGGAUUAGAUACCCCAGUAGUC